Molecule: transfer RNA, 72 nt
Filed under: Camelus bactrianus (Bactrian camel)
Lineage: Eukaryota; Metazoa; Chordata; Mammalia; Artiodactyla; Camelidae
Also listed under: 1 other name
Rfam family: tRNA
About the family: Transfer RNA (tRNA) molecules are approximately 80 nucleotides in length.
Source: Rfam by way of RNAcentral
GUGGGUAUAGCUCAGUGGUAGAGCACAUGCCUAGCAUGCAGGAGGUCCUGGGUUCAAUCCCCAGUACUUCCA